GCGGGUGUGGCGGAACUGGCAGACGCGCCGGGUUUAGGUCCCGGUGGGACGACGUCCCUUGGAGGUUCGACUCCUCUCACCCGCA
Molecule: transfer RNA, 85 nt
Filed under: Acidobacteriota bacterium
Lineage: Bacteria; Pseudomonadati; Acidobacteriota
Also listed under: 1 other name
Description: tRNA-Leu
Rfam family: tRNA
About the family: Transfer RNA (tRNA) molecules are approximately 80 nucleotides in length. Their secondary structure includes four short double-helical elements and three loops (D, anti-codon, and T loops).
Source: RNAcentral